Drosophila gunungcola (fruit fly) is the source of this 927-nucleotide long non-coding RNA. RefSeq lists it as uncharacterized. The record is from RefSeq and is a predicted model, not a curated record. The transcript is spliced from 3 exons. NCBI's taxonomy places the organism in Eukaryota, Metazoa, Arthropoda, Insecta, Diptera, Drosophilidae.
AAUAAAAUCGAUUAUCAAAAUCCCAGUUUCAAAAACAUUAAAAGAUCUUCGUUCCUUUUUGGGCAUGACAGGUUAUUAUAGGCGGUUCAUACAAGAAAGGAGAAGGAGAAGAAGGCCGUAUAUCUAAGACCAAGGAGGUUACCCUUGCCUAUCCAGAUUUCGGAUAAGAAUUCCAAUUGACUACUGACGCUUCAAGUUACGCAAUAGGCGUUGUAUUGGAACAAAAUAAUAGGCCAAUAACGUUUAAUAACUGAAGAGAACUACGCAACUAACGAAAGAAAAAUGCUCGCUAUCGUUUGGGCGCUCCAAAGUUUAAGACAUUAUAUUUACGGGUAUUCAAAAGUGAUAUUAUACACGGAUCACCAACCCUUGAGUUUUUCGAAUAGCGUAAAAAACCAUAACGCUAAGCUUAAAUGCUGGAGAGACCUCAUUGGCGAGUAUAACCACGAGAUCAUGUACAAGCCCGGAUUAGCUAAUGUGGUAGCGGACGCGUUGUCCCGGGCCCCCGCAGAAAUUAAUUCAAUCAGCUCCUCAGCAUCAGCCCUUAGCGACGAAAGCGCGUCACACAACCUCAUAUUUUCGGUUAUUUUUACCAACAUGCUUGGGGAUAACUACAGUGCACGACUAUUCCAAUUCACAAAUCAUCUCAUUCGAAACCAGACUAGCGGCUUAAUAAGACGGAACAUCUAAAAUCAUCCACAUCUUUAACCUACAAAGCUAUGAAGAAACUCUGGCGAAGUUAGAAGAAUCAUUUCAUUCACUCACCUCAUCUCAUCCAUUACACCCAUAUCUUUCUUAUGAACUAAAACAGAUCCGAACUGAUUUACGCAUACCCCAAACUCAAAAAGAUAAAAAAAGGCAAUAGAAGCAAUAUGUACUGCAUGGAAAUGGCUGCCGGGAUCACCACGACCAUCAGAUCCUAGAAGA